AACGAACGCUGGCGGCAUGCCUAACACAUGCACGUCGAACGAGACCUUCGGGUCUAGUGGCGCACGGGUGCGUAACGCGUGGGAACCUGCCCUUAGGUUCGGAAUAACUCCCCGAAAGGGGUGCUAAUACCGGAUAAUGUCUUCGGACCAAAGAUUUAUCGCCUUUGGAUGGGCCCGCGUUGGAUUAGCUAGUUGGUAGGGUAAAAGCCUACCAAGGCGACGAUCCAUAGCUGGUCUGAGAGGAUGAUCAGCCACACUGGGACUGAGACACGGCCCAGACUCCUACGGGAGGCAGCAGUGGGGAAUAUUGGACAGUGGGCGAAAGCCUGAUCCAGCAAGGCCGCGUGAGUGAUGAAGGCCUUAGGGUUGUAAAGCUCUUUUACCCGGGAUGAUAAUGACAGUACCGGGAGAAUAAGCUCCGGCUAACUCCGUG
This 433-nucleotide ribosomal RNA is filed under the name uncultured bacterium. RNAcentral's name for it is "partial 16S ribosomal RNA". It matches the Rfam family "Bacterial small subunit ribosomal RNA", at positions 29 to 507 of the family's 1533-position model. The record is from RNAcentral.